RNAcentral lists this ribosomal RNA (422 nucleotides) under uncultured bacterium. RNAcentral describes it as "bacterial SSU rRNA". It matches the Rfam family "Bacterial small subunit ribosomal RNA", at positions 9 to 431 of the family's 1533-position model. The record is from RNAcentral.
GAGUUUGAUCUUGGCUCAGAUUGAACGCUGGCGGCAGGCCUAACACAUGCAAGUCGAGCGGUAGAGAGAAGCUUGCUUCUCUUGAGAGCGGCGGACGGGUGAGUAAUGCCUAGGAAUCCUGCCUGGUAGUGGGGGAUAACGCUCGGAAACGGACGCUAAUACCGCAUACGUCCUACGGGAGAAAGCAGGGGACCUUCGGGCCUUGCGCUAUCAGGAUGAGCCUAGGUCGGAUUAGCUAGUUGGUGAGGUAAUGGCUCACCAAGGCGACGAUCCGUAACUGGUCUGAGAGGAUGAUCAGUCACACUGGAACUGAGACACGGUCCAGACUCCUACGGGAGGCAGCAGUGGGGAAUAUUGGACAAUGGGCGAAAGCCUGAUCCAGCCAUGCCGCGUGUGUGAAGAAGGUCUUCGGAUUGUAAAGC